UUUAAGUUUCAGUCUUGCGACCGUACUCCCCAGGCGGCGAGCUUAAUGGCUUCCCUGCGACACUCCAGUCGCGAUUUGCGAUUGGAUCAUCUAGCUCGCAUCGUUUACGGCUGGGACUACCCGGGUAUCUAAUCCGGUUCGCUCCCCCAGCUUUCAUCCCUCACCGUCGAGCGCGUUCUGGUGGACCGCCUUCGCCAUUCACCGUGCUUGUGGUCAUUAACCGCAAGCAAUCUGGUGGUCUUCCACGGAUCAAAGGAUUUUACCCCUACACGUGGAGUACCGUCCACCUCUCCCGCCUCCUAGUCCCGCGGUAUCUCCUGCGGGCCAAUCGUUGAGCGACUG
RNAcentral lists this ribosomal RNA (342 nucleotides) under uncultured archaeon. RNAcentral's name for it is "partial 16S ribosomal RNA". The record is from RNAcentral.